UCGAUGAAGAACGCAGCCAGCUGCGAGACUUGGUGUGAAUUGCAGGACACAUUGAGCACUUACUUUUCGAACGCACAUUGCGGCCUCGGGUCCUACCCGGGGCCACGUCUGUCUGAGGGUCGGAUUAUGCUUGCAGAAGGGAGUUUCUUCCUGAUUGGUUGUGCCGGAUGCGUCCGCCGACCUAAAUUGUGUGAGUUUUCGACCCCGGCCGAGAGGCAUGCCACGAGAGGAUGUCCGAGAGCGGGAGUGGCGAAGUGCCUKCCUGCAAGCUUGGACCAGUGGUGGAAGCCUGUGCUGGGGAAUUCAGAUGUGGAGUGAAUCUCCUACUUAACUUUGUCGACCUCAGAUCAGGCGAGACGACCCGCUGAAUUUAAGCAUAUAACUAAGCGGAGGAAAAGAAACCAACCAGGAUUC
This 414-nucleotide ribosomal RNA is filed under the name Cicurina sp. TK188520. Its description in RNAcentral is "eukaryotic LSU rRNA". Lineage: Eukaryota; Metazoa; Arthropoda; Arachnida; Araneae; Dictynidae. The record is from RNAcentral.